UCUACCUGCUCACCUCUUUCCUUCUCCAACUCUGGGCUCAUGCUGGGGCCUUCUCUCCAAGAGAAAGGGCUUAAUCUGGGGCUUCUCAACCUCACCACCAUUGACAUUUGGGGCCAGAUAUUUCUUUGCUGUGGGAGCUGUCCUGUGCACGGUAGGAUGUUUAGCCGCAUCCUUGCCUCCAUCCAAGAGAGGCCAGCAGCACCCCUCUCCUCCCCCUCCCCAAGCUGUGAAGGCCAAAAAUGUCUCUGGACUUUCCAAAUGUCCCCCGGGGGGCUACCUCCAGCCCUCCCUGUGCUGCCGCACCUCUGGGUCACACCCACUGUGUUCCGCUUGCCUUAGAGGGGGUAGGACUGUGAGCUGGAACAUAGUAGGAACUCAAUAACAAUUGGGUUGAUUCAUUAUGGAGAACUGUUUUGUGUAUGUUCCUUGUCUGAGAGCCAAUUUGCAGGGCACUCCUGAAGGGUUCACAGAGCAAAGACGGUUGUGCUGUGUCUGGAAGGAUAAAUAGGAGUUCUCACGGAAGAAUCCAGGUGGGCAGCUCGAGAUCUCCUUCCAAAUGACUCUGGAAGAUAAAAUUGGAGACAGUGUUUAACCUGGCACCUGUUCCACCUCUGCCAGCUCUGGGACAACCCAAAAGUUUCUAAGAGCACUAGGCAGUGGGGUUACUGCAAGGUGCUGGAGAUGAACCCAGCCAGUGCUAUUUCCACGAUGGUGAUGGUACAGUAGCAAGUUUAUGUGGUUGACUCUGAGAGUGCAAUGCAGUCCUCAAUGGAAGCAGCACCCAUAGCACCAAACAGCGUAAGUCACAGUGAGUCUCUGUAAGACUCUUCGCUGUAAUCCAGCAGCAGUCCUAUGACUGAAGGAGGCAAGGGCUACUUUAGGUCACAUUUUGGGUGGAAGGAGUAGUCCCCAAGUGUCUGAGCCUCCAUGGGAGCAGAGUUUGAUUGACCCCUUCACAGAACACAUAGAAUACUGGAGCAUCCUCAGGUAAGCCACAGCUUCAAGGAUGCACUACUGUGACUCACACCCAAAAGUAUACCAAAAUCUCUUUCCUAGGCUUUAGCCCUGCCCGUAACAGGCUCUUGACAGGGCUUCUCUACCUCGGGAUGCUUUUGACACUGCAAACCCAGUGAGGCCAAAGUGAAUUUAUUUUCUUUCCUCCCAACCUUCUUCUUCCUUUCUUUCUACAUUUCCUAUUGUGGUUUGUGACACCAUCAUUUGUCCAUGCUGUUGCUCAAGCUAGAAAGCUUAAGAGCUGUCCUGGAAUACCCUCUCUGUCCCCUUGGUAACCCACUAGGGUCACCAAAUUCUGAGGACACAGUCUCAGGGUUAUCUUCUCUGCCCCUUGCCACUGACUUAGUCUGGGAACUCACAGUUGUUUUUGUAUUAGUUGUGAUAUGGUAAUAGACUCUUAACUUUUUUAUUUUGUCUAUAUGUAGAAUUAAUACAUGUUCAUUGUAGAUAUACAAUCUGAAAAAUGCUGAAAUGAAUAAAGAAUCUCACUACUCAGAAAAACACACAAGUAAUAUUUGGAAUAUUUCCUUCCAAUCUAUUCUUAUGGAGAUAUUUGUUUCAUAGAUGUUUGUUUGGGGUGUCUAUAAUUGAGAUCAUAUUAUGUGAAUGGUUUUAUAUCCCUCUUUACCUGUCAUGAUAAUUUUCUUACAGCAUUAGAAAUUCUUUAAAAACAUGCUUUUGAAAAGUGGACUAGGGCUUCCCUGGUGGUGAAAAGGUUGAGAAUCCGCCUGCCAAUGCAGGGGACACGGGUUCGAGCCCUGGUCCGGGAAGAUCCCACAUGCCAUCCCACAUGGCAAGAUCCCACAUGCCAUGCCAUCCCAGCUAAGCCUGUGCUCCACAACUACUGAGCCUGUGUGCCACAACUACUGAAGCCCGCGUGCCUAGAGCCGGUGCUCUGCAACAAGAGAAGCCACUGCAAUGAGAAGCCCAUGCACCGCAAUGAAGAGUAGCCCCUGCUCGCCACAACUAGAGAAAAGCCCGCAGCAACGAAGA
Physeter macrocephalus (sperm whale) is the source of this 2007-nucleotide long non-coding RNA. RefSeq lists it as uncharacterized. NCBI's taxonomy places the organism in Eukaryota, Metazoa, Chordata, Mammalia, Artiodactyla, Physeteridae. The record is from RefSeq and is a predicted model, not a curated record. The transcript is spliced from 3 exons.